AUUGAACGCUGGCGGCAUGCCUUACACAUGCAAGUCGAACGGCAGCACGGGAGCAAUCCUGGUGGCGAGUGGCGAACGGGUGAGUAAUGUAUCGGAACGUGCCCAGUCGUGGGGGAUAACGCAGCGAAAGCUGUGCUAAUACCGCAUACGAUCUAUGGAUGAAAGCGGGGGAUCGCAAGACCUCGCGCGAUUGGAGCGGCCGAUAUCAGAUUAGGUAGUUGGUGGGGUAAAGGCCCACCAAGCGUGCGAUCUGUAGCUGGUCUGAGAGGACGGUCAGCCACACGGGGACUGAGACACGGCCCAGACUCAUACGGGGGGCAGCAGUGGGGAAUUUUGGACAAUGGGCGCAAGCCUGAUCCAGCAAUGCCGCGUGCAGGAUGAAGGCCUUCGGGUUGUAAACUGCUUUUGUACGAGACGAAAAGACUCGCUCUAAUACAGUGGGUACAUGACGGUAUCGUAAGAAUAAGCACCGGCUAACUACGUGCCAGCCGCCGCCGUAA
RNAcentral lists this ribosomal RNA (500 nucleotides) under uncultured bacterium. Its description in RNAcentral is "partial 16S ribosomal RNA". It matches the Rfam family "Bacterial small subunit ribosomal RNA", at positions 30 to 523 of the family's 1533-position model. The record is from RNAcentral.